Erythranthe guttata (spotted monkey flower) is the source of this 473-nucleotide non-coding RNA. The record is from RefSeq and is a predicted model, not a curated record. NCBI's taxonomy places the organism in Eukaryota, Viridiplantae, Streptophyta, Magnoliopsida, Lamiales, Phrymaceae.
GAAGAACCAUCUACCUUCGAGGAAAAGAACAUGGUGAAUUAAUGUUGCAUGUUCGCUUGAACUACGUUAUGACUUGAUCCCUUUGAGGAGGGUACGUAGGCAGCUUAGACCCAUAUUCUAAGUUCAGUCAAAACAAAAAAAAAAUUGUUCUAAGUUGUUCGCUUGAACUACGUUAUGACUUGAUCCCUUUGAGGAGGGUACAUAGGCAGCUUAGACCCAUAUUCUAAGUUCAGUCAAACCAAAAAAAAAAAAAUUGUUCUAAGUUGUUCACUUGAACUACGUUAUGACUUGAUCCCUUUAAGGAGGGUACGUAGAUAGCUUAGACCCAUAUUCUAAGUUCAGUCAAAACAAAAAACAAAAAUUGUUCUAAGUUGUUCGCUUGAACUACGUUAUGACUUGAUCCCUUUGAGGAGGGUACAUAGGCAGCUUAGACCCAUAUUCUAAGUUCAGUCAAACCAAAAAAAAAAAAAAAA